AUCCCUCUUUGCUCUCCUUCUCUCUAGACGGGUCGUUCGUUUCGCCGCGCCGACAACAAGAUCGAACGUAACACACGCGGUUUAACCACCGUACACACUUCGCGACGGAGUUGGCGAAAGAUGAUCGCGAGGAGGUUAUUUUUCGUUUCCCUCCGACGAGAUUGCGCGUACGUGCGCGUCACGCGAAGAACACCGUCGUUGUCGUUGAACCUGAUCGUCUACUUCGUGCGAGGCAAGCCGCCAUUUUCCUACUGUGCUGAUAGGCCCGGCCUAUUAUCCCUCUUGGCCAACAGAAAGAGAGGACACGCGUGCGACGAGGAAAAAAAUCAUCGGCGCACCGAACGAUUCACUCUCUAACUCUCUACCGUGUGCUGCUAUGUACUACUGCUGGCACCUCGACGAAUGGCUCGCGCGAAUCACAUGACGCCGACACUUCGGCAUCGUCGUUAUCGGUCGUCGUCUGCCACGCUUCGAUAUUCGGUAUUCGAUACCAAAAUCACUGUCGGCAUACACCACUGUCACGAGGAACACUCGCGAGCACUCGCGAGCUUUCGUAGAGAACGCAGAGCCAGCAACUCGUGCUGUUUGCUACUGCCGCCGCUACUACCGUCGCUGUCACCACCGUCACCACCACCGUCACCACCGUCCACAACUGUCCACAACCGUCCGCAACCGUCCGCAACCGUCCGCAACCGUUCACCACCGACACAGUCUACAGUUACGAUCGUCUACAGUCUACCGUCUCCGGUCUUCGCCGCUGCUGCCUCUGCCUCUGCUUCUGCGGCUGCGGCAACUGUCCCCCAAAAAGAAAGGCCGGGGGAAGCCGGUUAAGGGUUAAAUAUUUCCCUUCGUAUACGAAAUGCUGGUUAUCCGACGACUGGCUGCGCGACGACUGCACGAUGCCUGAGUGCUCAUUAAAGAAAAUCACCUUGGGAUCGUAUAUGUGAAGCAUGGCACCCUCGUCGAGCAGGGUCUUGGCGACAUGAAUGGCCGGUGACUCACGCGUGUCGCCGGUGUUCUUCUUGAAGGCAAACCCUAGCAUAGAGAUCCGUUUGUCCGUAACGGUGUUGAACAGCGAUUCGAUCACUUUCGCGGAGAACCUUGACUUCUGGUAUUCAUUCAUGUCUAUGACCUGUUGCCAGUAGGCGGCCACCUCGGGCAGAUUCAGGCACUCGCAUAUGUACACCAGAUUGAGUAUAUCCUUCUGGAAGCAGGAGCCGCCGAAUCCCACGGACGCAUGAAGGAACUUCGAUCCUAUUCGGGAGUCAAGGCCAACCGCCCGUGCCACCUCCGAGACAUCAGCGCCGGUCGCCUCGCACACAGCCGACAGCGAAUUUAUGCUGGAUAUGCGCUGCGCCAAAAAGGCAUUGGCGGCCUAAAAUCAGUAAUUAAAUUCUCACCUAAUUGCGCAAGACCGUCUGGCGUUAACGCGUGGAAAAUUAGCAAACAUUGGCUCGAAGAUAAUAUGCCACGGAACGUUGCGAAACGCGUUCGAAAUUUGGGACGAACAUUCGGCAGACGAUUCUCUACAUGCAUACGUAUAAUCGAUAUGGGGGCUAGCUAAUUAAUUUUGUUCGCUACCGAUCUACGCACCUGUGCCUGCCAUAUUCUCGGUGCGUCUAUUUUCAUAACCAAAAUCUAAUCCAAGGGCCGAUUCGAUUGUUCGCAAAAUAUACAAAUAUGUAUCGCGUAUUUUCGGAAAACAAGCUCGCUCACCAGCUUCGAUAGCUCCGAGCUCCACGUAUUCGUCGUAAGGAUGUUUUUCCGUGGGAUCCAGUGCUCGUACACCUUGCACAACUCCUCCAUGGCCGCGUGACCUUCGAUCGAGUCCUCGCCGCCGAUCAAAACCCGAUCCGCGUUCACCAGGUCCUCGAUCGCCGUCCCUUCCGCCAGGAACUCCGGAUUCGAUAGAAUCUGAAAACAGGGAGCACGAUGUUUUUUCUGUCUCCGUUGCAUAGGUCGUCGCAGCGACAUAUCCCACUUGGCACGGGCGGAUGAUAUCAAGCGACGCGUGAUAAAUGUAAAAACGCGGCCGGAAAGAGAAAAAAGGGUCAUGAUCGCGCGGCCCCGGUACCGGCCCCGGCCUCGGGACAGCGGAGACGCCUCGGAUGACCUGUUAAUUCAACAGGUGCGAACUGGAGCCCUUGCUAAACCGAGUACCGGGAACCCGAGCAAUCGAAGUACAUACUCGUUGCAAACCGAACUCUCCGCUCCAACAGAUUCUAGGGUAUCCAAACUUGGACGUGCGAACAUAUUCAGACAUUCGGAUUUAAAUCGAGUAAUUGUUAGACACUCUGUGCGGAUUUUAUACAUUUAUGUCGGAAAUUGGGUGGAUGCUACUUCAAAACACUACCCUGUAACAGCUUAAACUGUAAAGUGGAAAUUUUUUUUUUUGUUUUGUGUAUGAAUCAACGCAGAAGGAAGUGUUACAGAUACCAAUGACGUCGAAUGAUAUCGUAUCAACUUUGUUCCAAAUUGCUUGGAUCUCGUUUAACGUUGCAAAGAAAAUAUUGGCGAAGCUUUUAUCGCUCCGAUAGGUGAGCCGUAGACACGUGUAGAAAAUUAAAGAUCGGCUUUCGAGAUAUCGUAGAAGUAGACAGAAAACUCGCUGUUCUUGUUUUCGUAGUUAGGUCUUUUAAUUAGGAAUAAGCUGUUAGGAAACUGCCUUAUGUUAACACAAAUUUUCUCCCGGAUUUCGAAAUUUUGUAAGGUCAUUUUGGAGUUUCCUAUGAUCGUACGACUCUAAAACCGUCCACAUUAUUAUAGCAUCAUUAUGUACCUUCCCUAGUCGGUUAAUUGCUCGACCGUUUCUCGGUUACCGGCGAAUGGCAGUCGAUUUAGCCUUAUAACGUCCAACCGUUUAUCGGCGAAACCAUCGAAUUAAAUAUUCGAAUAUCUAGCAUCAAUGGUAAUAAAAUACUUUAUCGUUUAAAUGUACAGAUCGAUCGAUUUCACUUAAAUGUACGUAAUAAAUUUUUGAAAUAUACCACGUCACACCAUAUUAGCAUAAUUGCUACUUAUUAAAUAAUAAGUUAAACUACUUGCGAUUUUAAGUACUCCCCCGAUGUAAUGUUCUAAUGAACGGGUUGUGUGUAUGAUAAGAACGGAAGGUUUAGUCAAUUAUAUUCAAGUUUCGUGUAAACUACGUUACGGUAUACAACGUUUAAUAUGAGAUAAAAUUCUCUUUGUUAUUUACUCUAAUUAGAUUCGUUUAAACGACGCGUAUAAAAUAUUAAAAAAGAAAUACUUAUUUUUCUAAUGUUUGCUCCUACUUAGAAUUUUGCACGCGAUUCAAUAAUAAAUGCAAUAUUUUCGUUC
Molecule: long non-coding RNA, 3318 nt
Organism: Megalopta genalis
Lineage: Eukaryota; Metazoa; Arthropoda; Insecta; Hymenoptera; Halictidae
Source: RefSeq, a predicted model, not a curated record